GAUGAACGCUAGCGGCAGGCCUAAUACAUGCAAGCCGAACGGCAAGAUUUUCAGCAAUGGAAAUCCUAGAGUGGCGUAAGGGUGCGUAACACGUAUGCAAUCUGCCCUCAACAGGAGGAUAGCUCCCCGAAAGGGGAAUUAAGACUCCAUAAGAUCUUAGAGUGGCAUCACUUAGAGAUUAAACUACCAGGGGUUGAGGAUGAGCAUGCGCAUGAUUAGUUAGUUGGCGGGGUAACGGCCCACCAAGACGAUGAUCAUUAGGGGAACUGAGAGGUUGAU
This 279-nucleotide ribosomal RNA is filed under the name uncultured bacterium. RNAcentral's name for it is "partial 16S ribosomal RNA". It matches the Rfam family "Bacterial small subunit ribosomal RNA", at positions 28 to 304 of the family's 1533-position model. The record is from RNAcentral.